This 389-nucleotide ribosomal RNA is filed under the name Macaca fascicularis (crab-eating macaque). Its description in RNAcentral is "partial 12S ribosomal RNA". It matches the Rfam family "Bacterial small subunit ribosomal RNA", at positions 794 to 1383 of the family's 1533-position model. Lineage: Eukaryota; Metazoa; Chordata; Mammalia; Primates; Cercopithecidae. The record is from RNAcentral.
GCUUGGCCCUAAACCUCAGUAGUUAGAUAACAAAACUACUCGCCAGAAUACUACAAGCAACAGCUUAAAACUCAAAGGACUUGACGGUGCUUUACAUCCCCCUAGAGGAGCCUGUUCCGUAAUCGAUAAACCCCGAUCUACCCCACCCUCUCUUGCUCAGCCUAUAUACCGCCAUCUUCAGCAAACCCUAAUGAAGGCUACAAAGUGAGCGCAAACGCCACUGCCGCGAAUACGUUAGGUCAAGGUGUAGCCCAUGAGACGGUAAAAAAUGGGCUACAUUUUCUAUUUCAGAAAACCCCACGAAAACCCUUAUGAAACUUAAGGGUCCAAGGAGGAUUUAGCAGUAAAUUAAGAAUAGAGUGCUUAAUUGAACCAGGCCAUAAAGCGCG